GCGGGGCGGGGCUACGGGAGGCGGGGCUGGGGGAGGGUUUCGGGCGGGCGGCCUGUGGGAAGGAGUUGGGGGAGGAGCUGUGAGGCAGGUUUCGGGGAGUAGCUGGGGCGUCCCUGCAAGAGGUGUGGGCUCCGGCUGUGAGAAAGAGCUGGGGGGGAGCUAGAACUGAGCUGGGGGGUGAUUUGGCGGACGAGGAGCCGUGCGAAGAGCAGGGUGGGCCUGAGGAGGGGUAGCCAGCGGAGGUGCAGGGGGGAUCUGGGGAGCGCUGGGGAAGCGGAGCGUGGGGAGGCGGCACAGGAGAAGCUGGGGGACCACCGGGGAUGGAGACCUGGGGAGUAGCGGGGCGGAGCUGAGUGGAGGAGCUGGAGAGGGGCGGGUGGAGCUGAGGAAAGUGGGAAGGCUGAGCUGGGGUGCAGCGGGAUUACGUUGGGGAGGUGGAAUUGGACCUGGAGCCUUGGGAGGAGUUGGGGGGCCACUGUGGGUGAGGACCUGCGGAGUUGUAGGGCAGGGAGGGGGACCCCGGAAAGGCGAAAGGGGGGAGGAGUGGGGCGUGGCUGGUGGACCGCGCGGAGGAAGAGCUGCGGUCGGGCGGGGCGGAGCUGGGAAGGGGCAGGGAGGGACUGGCGGACAGGUUUGUGAAGGAGCGGCCAAAGGGGUGUGGGGAUGGGCGAAUCCUGCGAGGAGGAGCUGUGGAAGGGUCAGGCGGGGUUCCGGCGGAGCAGAGCGAUGUCGGAGAAAGCUGGGAGGGGGAGUUGGGGACGAGCGGGGCAGGGCUGGUGGGUAGCUUCGAGGAGCAGGGUGGGGCUGGGGAGGGGUAGCGCCAGUUGCGGGAUCGCUGGGAGGAGGAGCUGGGGCAGGGCUAGGGUGGAGUGUGGCGGGCCUGGGGACCCCUGACCGCAGGUACUGGGGGAGGAGCUAGGCGAGCUGGGGAGGAGCUGGGUGGACUGGUGGUAUAGCUGGGAGGAGAAGCUGCAGGGGAGCGAGGGGGGGUUGAGGAGAUGCUGGGUGGACAGGUGGUAGGCGGAGCUGGGGUGGGGCUGGGCGGGACUGGUGGGGCGUUUGGGAGGCGUGGCCGGGGCAGAGUAGGUCAGGACUGGUGCGGUGGUUGGGAGGCGUAGCCGGGGCGGUGCUGGGGCAGGACUGGUGGAGCUGUUGGGAGGCGUGGCCGGGACGGAGCUGGGCGGGACUGGUGGGGUCGUUGGGGGCCGAGCGGGGUCUGAGCAGAUCGGGACUGGUGGGCUGGUUAGGAGGUGGGGCCGGGGCGGGACGGAGCGGGGCGAGACUGGUGGAGCGGUUCAGAGGCGUGGCUGGGGCGGAGCAGAUCAGGACUGGUUGGGUGGCUGGGAGGCGUGGCCGGGGUGGAGCGGGUCAGGACUGGUGGGUGUGACUGGUGGGCGUGGCCAGGGCGGAGGCGGGGGGGGGCUGAUGGGGUGGUUGGGAAGAGAAGGGGGCGGUGCUGGGUCAGGACUGGAGGAGCGGUUGGGAGGCGGAGCCGGGGCGGAGCUGGGCGGGACUGGUUUGGUGGUUGGUGGGCGUAGCCGUGGCGUGCUGGGGAAGGACUGGCGGAGCGGUUGGGAGGCGGAGCCGGGGUGGUGCUACCCGGGGUGGUGCUAGCCGGGGCGGAGCCGGCAGAAGUGGGGAGGGGAACCCAGGGAAGGGCUCGGGGGCGGGGCAAGGGCGUCUCAGUGGCAGCAGCCGGGCAGUUCCCUUCUGCCUCAGGGGACUUAGGCGUCUGGGUGGCACCGCAUGGGUAGGCAACAAAGUGGCAGCCCCAGGUUCCUCAGCGACCUCAGGUGACCCUCAGAAUGGACCCCGAAGAACACGGAGGCGGGAGAGGACGGCGCCUGUAGGUUGAGUCCUGCACCUGGACUCUGAAGGCCCUGGGCGGGCUCUCCUUCCAAGCCACCCUGGGGUGGUCAGCGGGGUCCUGAGGGACGGUCUUUAGAUGAACGUUUUUUGCAGCCCAUAUGCUGAGUCCUGGGAUUUCUGGAACUUCUGAUCUCCUAUGGCCGAGGAGGGAAGGACAGUGAAGACUUCAGAAAUUCAGAGCUAUGCUAUGUGUUUUGUUUUGCCUAGUUUUGGAUUUGGAAAGAAACAUUUCAACAGAGUACCCCGGCUCCCCCGUGGAAACUGAGACAAUUAUCUUCCCAAAGCCCUGAACUCCCCUUCCUACUUCCGAAGGAGCCCCUCUGUUCACAGCUGUUAAAGCUAGCCGGAAGUCCGGUUCCUUCCCCAGGCAGUUCUUUUUGGAUGUUGGAUGCACACCUUUCUAAGCAUUGUGGUCUCCAAAUCAUCUAUCCAUGAUGGAUGACAUGACCAUGAAUCUUUGCUUAAAUAUGGACUCCUGAAAUAUCAUAAAAUCCCAGAGCAUCGGAGCUGGACAGAGGCCAUCUGGAUAUUUUGUCUGAGGCUCAGAGAAGACAAGGACCUUAUUUAAGGUCACACAGUGAGUUAGCUGCAGAAUUAGGACUCAGAUUCCAUUCUGUAUUCCUCAGGUCAUUGAAUCAAAGGCUGAAUUCCAUUCCUUUACAUGGCACUGGAUGCCCCACACGAUGGAGGACCUUUCUGGCAGAGCACAAUGUCCCACAGGAUUACACUGAACCAGAGGGUCCAGAUGAUAGGUGGCACAGUGGGUUGCCCUGCCACUGAGGAGUCAAUUCUAAACCACAACGGGCAUUUUUAUGGCAUGCAGCUGUACCCUAAGGAAGGAGGUGCAAGGUGAUCAACUGACAUUCAGGAGAUGGAGAAAACAGUCUCGUGAUAGUUCCUUAUCAGGCGGCUUAUUUCCCUUGCUCCAGGAAGAGUUGGUGUUCUCUGAAGGCACAGCUUUUUCUGAAGCCCUCCACGGAGUCACGUAGGAGAUUCAGGGACUUCCAGAGUGGUGAAUGAAUGAUCAGCAUUGCAUAGAGUAAGUAAAGAGAAGGAAAGAACAACAUUUCUGAGGCCGACAGAUCUGAAGUGAGAAGGGAAAGAGAAGGACUAUUAAAGUCCCUUGUCCAGAGCUGGGUAACAGAUGUCAUGAUCGUCGUCUGACUAAGAUCAAUAACCAGAGUCAUGCAGGUGCUGGGCAUCCUGUCAGAUAAACCCACGUGGCCCCAAAGCCUGGUGCUGGAGAGGCAACGGAAAAGACAGAAAAUGUGAUAUAUUCGUUGAUGCCAAGUGAAGUUGAAAUGUCAGGGAUCCACACGUGCUAAGUAAUCCUUCUUGACAAACACUGAUUCAGCAAUUGACCAAUACAGGGGGCAUUGGCUGAGCUUCUGUUCUGGGGAUGCAGAAAGGAAUCAGCCAUGGUCCUUUCUUACUAGUAGCUCAUGGUUACAUGGGGGCAGACACAGAACCAGUACCUGUGGUUCAGUCAGGAAACACACUCUAGUAGAGGGUUGUGUGUACUCCCCGCUUCUGCUAGAAGAGGUUGUGAAAAGCUUUUGCAGGGGAGAUGAUGUUUGAAGGAUGGCUGGGAAUGGCCAGGCAGAAAGGAUGUGAGAAUUUGCCAAGCAGAGGGGACAGCUUGUAUGAUGAUAUGGAAGGGUGAAAGGGAAGAGCAAGGAGUUCGGGAUGGCCAUGGUAGUCAAGUAGAUGGCAGCGAAUGGCAGAGAACAGGCAGAAGUAGACGGGGUUGGAAUAGGUUAUGGCUCUGGAUUUCAUCCUAUAGGUGACGGGGAAUCACUGAUAUUUCAAAGCAGAGGGUGACAUGGCAGACUUGGCAUAAUAGGUCACGUCGGGGACUGUGUGGACAGUGGUGCCGAAAAGGAGGCCGUGAAGCUAGGAGGCCCGUAAGGAGGCUGUGUAAACAGGCCUGGGAAAAGCUGGUAUGGGUCAUGGGCCCCAGCAUAGAAUGAGGAGAAUGGAUUUGAAAGGUUCUCCCAGGACCAGGUUCUAUGCUGGGCUCUGGGGGAUAUAAGAUGAACCAAACAUUGCCCCUUCCCUCAAGACCUGAGCAUGUGGAAGGAAGCCUAAGACACAUACAUGAGGCAAGGGAAAGUGACCUCUUUCACUUUAUAUGAUAUACUAGUUUCCUAUAGCUGCUGAAACUAGCCACUGCAAACAGUGGCUUAAAACAACAAAAAUUUAUUAUCUUACAGUUCUGGAGGUUAAAAGGCAGAAAUGGGGCAGGAUUGUGUUCCUGAAAUGGUGGCUUUAGGGGAGAUUCUAUUUCUUUGCCUUUUCUAGCUCCUAGAGGAUCCCACAUUCCUUGGCUAAAUGCCCCACAUCACUCCACUUCUGCUUCUUUCAUCACAUCUCCUCUGAUGCCGACCCUCCUGCCUCCCUUUCAUAAGGGCCCAUGAUUACAUUUAAGUCCAAUCCAGAAAAUCAGGAUGAUUUCUCUAUCUCAAGAUCCUCAAGUCAAUCACAUUUGCAAAGUCCCUUUUGCCAUGGCAGGUAAUAAUAUCUUUCUAGGUUCUGAGGAUUAGAACAUGGACAGCAUUGGGGAGCCAUUGUUCAACCAGACACAACAAGAAGGGUUCUUAACAUUUUCAUGAAUAAAUAAUGAUGAUAAGACCAUUUUUUCUUGAGUGCUUACUAUCAGCCGUGUAUUUUCACAUUUAACUCCUGCAGGGACUCUAAGAGGGUAUGUUCCAUACCUCUCCUUUUAGUUGCCAAGAACAACCCAGCUAGGAAGUGGGGGACAGACAGGAAGCUUCCAUUCUCAGUGUUAUACCUUCUCCCUUUAUGUCUAUUCCUAAACAGCUGACCACUUUGGUUACAAAGUUCUAUGUUACGUUUCAUCUUCUGCAUUUCUUUUUUGAAAAUAGCUUUAGUGUUUUUUGCAGAAAAAAAUGACACAUACCCAUUUUAAAACUGCAAACAAUACUGAAAGUACAAAGAAAAAUUAAAAUCAUACCCAAAUCUCAUUUUCCAAGGAUAACUAUUGUUAACAUUUCGUGAACAUUCUCCAGACUGCUGUCUAUGCAUCAUAAAUAUGCCUUUCUAUAAAGCACUUUAUCUCCACUCUACAGCAUGAAUAUCUUUCUGUGUCAGUACUUGUCAACUCCUCAAAGCAAGCUUGCUGAGUCAAAGGUUGUACAUAUUGUACAUGUUAAUACACAUUGCCAAACAGCUCUCAAAACAUAUUAAUUUUUACCAAAAGUGCAAGACCUUCACCAGUUUAGUCGGUCUUUUAAAUCUUUGCCAUUUGAUUGGUGAAAAAGAACAUCUUUUCUUGGCAUUGCUUUCAUUAUUAUUGAUAGCAUCUUUCCACAUCUUUAUUGGCCAUCUAUAUUUAUUCUCUUGGGGAAUGGUUUAUUCAGGGCCUUUGCCUAUUUUUCUGUUAGGAUGUUUGCUCUUUUCA
Molecule: long non-coding RNA, 5290 nt
Organism: Mustela erminea (ermine)
Lineage: Eukaryota; Metazoa; Chordata; Mammalia; Carnivora; Mustelidae
Exons: 7
Source: RefSeq, a predicted model, not a curated record